Molecule: long non-coding RNA, 2998 nt
Organism: Hordeum vulgare subsp. vulgare (domesticated barley)
Lineage: Eukaryota; Viridiplantae; Streptophyta; Magnoliopsida; Poales; Poaceae
Exons: 2
Source: RefSeq, a predicted model, not a curated record
CCCUCGUCUCGUCUCUCCACCCCACCUCCGUCUCCCACCCACCGCUGCUACUCCCACCCACCUCGGCCCCUUAGCCGACUGGCUCGGGGUUGGCCUACACGGCCAUGACAGGUACAGCGGCACCGACGCGCUCGUCAAGUCCCCAGGCGGCGCCGAUACACUCGUCCCGUGGUGGUGUCGUCGUUUCCUCCCCCGUGCACUGCGCCCCCAUCCUCCCGAGAUUGGAUCCCGUUUUUCUCCUUGUGCAGAUCCCGUUUUACUCCUUGUGCAGAUGCGUUUCCUCUAUUUCUGAAUUUGGAUUUCUUUCCUCGUGGUGCAGGGUUUCCGGCCGUCAUCAGUAAUGGAGAAUGUGAGGUCUUUGAACCACAGGGGCAUGGCCAUGGAGGGCGCCAAGCUGGCGUUCUAGGCGGCGGCCAACACCAAUCGCAGGGCCCUGAGGGACAUCAAGAACAUCCUCGGCGCUCCUCACCAGCCCCAAGCCGUCAGCAAAAGGGGCCUGCAAGAAAAACCAGCCGCCGCCGGUGCCAAGAGCCAGCCUGGCGCCGUCGGUCACCGGCCAGAUUUACCAAUUGUUCUGAUACUUUCAUGGGUGUCCAUUGCUCUUCUUAUCUAUGUACUUUCCAAUUGUGCAAAUUUUAGGAACUGUUUGGGUGAAUUUAGAUGCUGGGAAGUGGAUCCUGAAUGCACUUUGUGUUUGCUAUAUUCAGAUUUGCGCAAACAAAGCUCACUCUAAAAUAAUAUCUGUAACUACGUACUGUUUGAAUUAAUACACCUGAAUCUGCGGAUUUGCACAUACAGAUCUUUAGAGAUUUGAGCAUAUCGAUGUAGUUCUCAUAUAAGUAUGGUACUAUAGGUUUAAUGUAGUCUAGCAAAUUUAGGCAAGUAGUACGUCAUGAAUAUUUUAACUUAAUUUGAUGCUCACUUUUACAUACAUAUGGUAUGAUAUUAAUUAUGGUUCAUUUGGGUUAGUUGUCCAUCUUUUGCAUCCCUUGCUUUUAUUGCACUCAGAUUUAGUUCAGAAUGUAUAUAAAUUUACCUUGUUUGAACCAAGAAUCUGACUGAAAUAGGUAACUGCCAACUCAAAACAUAAAACAAGUGCUAGACUUCAAAGCAUAACCACAAGAGUUGUUCAUAGCCUUUAUCUACUCAAGAUCUUGUUUAUUUGCACUUGCCAGCUAAAAUGGAAGUGAGCACACCUGUGAGUGACCCUCAGUCUCUAUUAUCUUUGUACUACCUAAUAUGAUUCAUCAACAUUUUAGGUAUAUCUUCAGAUGUCAGUCUCAUACACAUUAAGAAUCAUACCUAUUCAUUUCGUGUUUCUAUAUAAGUGCUCAUUUCAUAUCUUUGUACUACCUAAUAUGAUCUUGCAUGUUGGAUGCUAUCCACCGUGUAAACCUUUAGUUUUAGCUAGUGAUUCGUGUGAAUUGCUAGAUGGAUACCAGUCUGUGUUGCACUUUGGCCGGUUGCCUUGAUGUUGUGCUUCUACUAUGAUUUGAGAAGUAUGGUGAAUGCGUCGCUUAAUUGGUUGUUACUUAGCUUGCAUGUCCUUCAUUUAUGUCAUACCUCAAACAUGUUCGUGUAGGAGUUGCUUGAGGCCACCUGCAUGUGGUUUCUUGGAGUUCCUGUAUGAUAAAUCUAGUGGAGAAGCUGGUUUGUUUGAUGAACAGACCUACAUCAAGUGUCAUGCUACCGUAUUUUACACAAUUACAAACCCAGAUAAAUGAAUGAAUGUAAUGGUUAUAUAACUUGGAUUGAACUUCAGUUCAGUGCUACGCUUAUGUACCUUGCUAUGCUAGUAAGCCUACUGUCACGCAUGCCCAUGGCUGCGUGAGUGGCUAUAUAUAAAGCAGUUCCAUUCAGAAGCUUAUCUUUGUAUUAGUUUAGGCCUCGGUUAUGUUACUUUGGCAAUGAUUUUCCAUAGGCAUAGCCUCAUUAUCAAUAUGAUGACUUGCUAUGCUGUGAUGGGUGUCUUCUGCUUGUCCAUGAGUGGCCAUUAUCAGUAUGCAUAGGCACUCUUUUGCUUGUCUGCGAAAUUAUGGUGAUAGCUCAUGCCUCAUGUUGUUUCUUUUCUCGUGUGUUUUGUUUAGUUCACCUUAUGAAUAGAUUUGUAGGUCGUUUGAUUUAUUCCAGCAGUACAAGUACAACUGUUGUUCCUGUAGCUUAACAAAUCAAUUUAAAUCUGUUCAAUAUGUUUUCAAAUCCCAGAUUGUGCCUUUGUUAAAAUUCGUAGGGGAUAAUCUGAUUUAUUAUAGAACUAGUAGUACAACUUUUGCUGAUGUAGCCCAUGCCUCAUGUUGGAGUGUGUAUUCUAAUGAAUAUUUGUCAACCUGAUGCAUGAUGAUCAUGAUUUUGUUGACAACAAGUACCAUUCCCCAUUAAAAAUUCUGAUACAUGAUGAUCAUGGUCUCAUUUUUUAGAUCUGUUUUGCUGGUGCUUAAAAUUUGACAUGACUUAAUGAACUCAUUCUUAUAGUUCUUUUUAUUUCUAUGAUCAAUUUAAUUAAAGUUUCACAGGAUAGUAUACUAUACAUUAAAAAAUCCUAGCUAGUGAGAAUAUUUUAGUCACUCCAUAAACACAUAUUGGUUAGUGUUAGUCAUACUAUUUAUAUGUUGUGUUUUCCACAAUAACAUGAUUAAUUAGGUUCCAUCCUUAGCUUUAACGUCUUCUUCCAAAGGUUCUCAUCGAUUAGUACUGUCAACCUGUACAUAUUAUACUAUUUUGUUCCCUCAUUGGCUACUAUUUUGUUCUUAUUUUUUGCAUAGGUGAAAUGUGAAGCCAAGCUGAAGUUGUGAAGCCUAUAUGCAAAGAGUAGCAUAUCAUGUAUUGUGAUAGUAGGGUGUAGUAGGCAUAUUUGAGUUGUAGUAGUGUAAAGAUUGUAAUAGACUAAUUUAGUGUUUUCUUGGACGAAUUUCAUUUGUUCUGUGAUCUGUUCAAAAUAUUGAUUUCGUAUGUGAUUUGUAUACCUAUGAAAUGGAAACCUCACAAAUUGUUUGACAAA